RNAcentral lists this ribosomal RNA (651 nucleotides) under uncultured archaeon. Its description in RNAcentral is "bacterial SSU rRNA". It matches the Rfam family "Bacterial small subunit ribosomal RNA", at positions 740 to 1391 of the family's 1533-position model. The record is from RNAcentral.
CCGACGGUGAGGGGUGAAAGCUAGGGGAGCAAACAGGAUUAGAUACCCUGGUAGUCCUAGCGCCUAAACGAUCAGGACUUGGCGUGGCCCUGUACGUGCUCGUCCCGUAGCUAACGCGAUAAGUCCUGCGCCUGGGGAGUACGGUCGCAAGGCCGAAACUCAAAGGAAUUGACAGGGGCCCGCACAAGCGGUGGAACAUGUGGUUCAAUUCGACGCAACGCGAAGAACCUUACCUGGUGCUUGAAGUGCACCGGACCAUCCUUGGAAACAGGGACUUCCCGCAAGGGACUGGUGUAGAGGUGCUGCAUGGCUGUCGUCAGCUCGUGCCGUGAGGUGUUGGGUUAAGUCCCGCAACGAGCGCGACCCUUACUCGUAGUUGCCACCCGCAAGGGGGAACUCUACGAGUGACUGCUCCGGAUAACGGAGAGGAAGGUGGGGAUGAGGUCAAGUCAGCAUGGCCUUUAUGUCCAGGGCUACACACGUGUUACAAUGCGCGCUACAAAGCGUCGCGAACCCGCGAGGGGGAGCUAAUCGCAAAAAAGCGCGCUCAGUUCGGAUUGCAGUCUGCAACUCGACUGCAUGAAGCCGGAAUCGCUAGUAAUGGCGCAUCAGAACGGCGCCGUGAAUACGUUCCCGGGCCUUGCACACACC